AUUGAACGCUGGCGGCAGGCCUAACACAUGCAAGUCGAACGGUAACAGGAAACAGCUUGCUGUUUCGCUGACGAGUGGCGGACGGGUGAGUAAUGUCUGUGAAACUGCCUGAUGGAGGGGGAUAACUACUGGAAACGGUAGCUAAUACCGCAUAACGUCGCAAGCCCAAAGAGGGGGACCUUCGGGCCUCUUGCCAUCGGAUGUGCCCAGAUGGGAUUAGCUAGUAGGUGGGGUAACGGCUCACCUAGGCGACGAUCCCUAGCUGGUCUGAGAGGAUGACCAGCCACACUGGAACUGAGACACGGUCCAGACUCCUACGGGAGGCAGCAGUGGGGAAUAUUGCACAAUGGGCGCAAGCCUGAUGCAGCCAUGCCGCGUGUAUGAAGAAGGCCUUCGGGUUGUAAAGUACUUUCAGCGGGGAUGAAGGGAGUAAAGUUAAUACCUUUGCUCAUUGACGUUACCCGCAGAAGAAGCACCGGCUAACUCCGUG
Molecule: ribosomal RNA, 490 nt
Filed under: uncultured bacterium
Lineage: Bacteria
Description: partial 16S ribosomal RNA
Rfam family: Bacterial small subunit ribosomal RNA
Source: RNAcentral